GGAAAAGCCCAAGAUUGAAAGCUGGCGUCAUUUUCUGGCGUUCCGCAUUGUAAUCUCAAGAAACGUUUAUCCGCUGCGGACCAGGUCGAAGUCUCCUGGAAAGGAGCAUCAUGGAGGGUGAGAAUCCCGUGUGUGACCUGGAGCCACCGCAGUACUGCGAUGCGUUUUUUCUCCGAGUCGAGUUGUUUGAGAAUGCAGCUCAAAAUGGGUGGUAAAUGCCAUCUAAGGCUAAAUACAGGGGAGAAACCGAUAGCGUACAAGUACCGUGAGGGAAAGAUGCAAAGAACUUUGGAAAGAGAGUUAAACAGUAUGUGAAAUUGCCAGAAGGGAAGGGUAGGAAGUCAGAGAUACGGGGAAGCAGGUUCAUCCGGAUGUUUGUAGUGGGCAGACGGAGCAGGCUUGUGUGAUCUGUAGGUCAACGUCGGUUCUCAUGUCGCGGGAAAGCCGGAGCUGGGGAACGUAGCAACUCUUCCGGGAGCUGUGAUUAUAGACCUGCUCGUGUGGACCGGUGACGGGAACCGUGGCUUAGCAGCAUGAUGCUUCGAAGCGGCUGUCCUCUCGGGGGCGGCGGUGGCUGUUGUGUUAGGUCUUCGGACUC
This 598-nucleotide ribosomal RNA is filed under the name Anthracoidea subinclusa. Its description in RNAcentral is "LSU rRNA". It matches the Rfam family "Eukaryotic large subunit ribosomal RNA", at positions 101 to 529 of the family's 3401-position model. The record is from RNAcentral. Lineage: Eukaryota; Fungi; Basidiomycota; Ustilaginomycetes; Ustilaginales; Anthracoideaceae.